This is a long non-coding RNA of Helianthus annuus (common sunflower), 615 nucleotides long. RefSeq lists it as uncharacterized. The record is from RefSeq and is a predicted model, not a curated record. NCBI's taxonomy places the organism in Eukaryota, Viridiplantae, Streptophyta, Magnoliopsida, Asterales, Asteraceae. The transcript is spliced from 3 exons.
AUGGUUAGAAUGUAUGAAGUGGAAAAAGAACUUGUCGUUUAUGUGACAACGAGUAGUAAUCAUGAGACUUCUUCAGUUAAUCAAAGGGGUCAAGAUGAAGUGGGUGACGAACCACACAGUGAAGAUGAAUCAGAGUAUUCAUUAAGUGAUGAAAGCUAUCAUAGUUAUUAUAGUAGUGAUGAUGAAGUUGAGCAACAUAACUCCCAAGAGGAAACUUAUACCAAGAAAAGUCGACCCAUCAAGUUGAACUCAUGAAAAUGUUGCCACGUUUAGACGAACAUUAAUCCAUUAUGCACUUGUAAAUGAAUUUGAAUACUUCAUUGAGAAAAGUGAACCGACAAGAGUCACAGCAAGGUGUGUUGACAUAGAAUGUAAAUGGAGAAUACAUGCCUCUGUCAAGCAAGAUGGAAUUACAUUCCAGGUUAAGAAAUUUGUAGAAGCACAUUCCUGCACUCGAAGUAACAAGGGUGGUAACAAGGUUGCAACUCAAGGAUGGAUUGCCAGUGUCAUUAAAGAUAAGCUAAAAUCUGAUGGGGACGUCUCUGCUACAGGUGUAUUCUAAAGAAAUGGAAGGGUACAUUAGUACCUAAAACUAAGAGUUAUCUUAAUCGAAUC